Long non-coding RNA from Centruroides sculpturatus (bark scorpion), 428 nucleotides. RefSeq lists it as uncharacterized. Lineage: Eukaryota; Metazoa; Arthropoda; Arachnida; Scorpiones; Buthidae. The record is from RefSeq and is a predicted model, not a curated record. The transcript has 4 exons.
CUUAGUCCGGUUCAUACAACGUCCUACGAUCCAACUGCUGCUCCUUGCAACGGUUAGCGCAGCUGUUUUCUGACGGACUACACCAUUCGUCGAUGUUCUUCGGGGGUGCUUCACCACUCUGUUGCCAUAUCAGAGGACUGGGAUCACUUGGUACUGGGCAUAUACUGUAUUUAAGAAGGCCUCAAAAAUAUUUCUUGAAAAUUAUUUAUUCCAUUGUAUUUCAGAUCAAUCUCCUUCGAUGCUUUCCGAUAGAGGGCGAUAUAUGUGAAACGACAUCCUCUAGUGAUAAUUAUGAUGAUUCAGAAUAAAUAAAAGAUUAGUCACGCACUGUAGUAUGAAAAAAAAUGUUAAAUAUCUCCAUACAAAAAUUUGUAAGCGAAGAGAGGAGGACUAUUAGACACGCAACAUUAACAUAUCGAAUGUCUCUG